This is a long non-coding RNA of Gorilla gorilla gorilla (western lowland gorilla), 2611 nucleotides long. RefSeq lists it as uncharacterized. The record is from RefSeq and is a predicted model, not a curated record. The transcript has 3 exons. Lineage: Eukaryota; Metazoa; Chordata; Mammalia; Primates; Hominidae.
AGAACAGGAGUUAACUGCAUGGAGUAAACCAGUAGAAGUUUGAAGGAAUCUUUUGCUUUUUACUUUGCUUAAAAUGUUGCUGAUCCUUUGUUUUGUUUUUAGAGACAAGGAAAUUUUUCUUUUGAGCUAUUUACAGCUUUUAACAAUUGAGUAAAGUAUACUCCUGUGAACAAAAUUUGGAGCAUAUUUGUUUCUCUCUACCUGAUUUCUCCAGAAUUUGAAAACUAGUUGCUAGAAUUCUUAACUUAUGGCAGUAUAGUUAUUUGCAUAAGUGCAAUUAGAAUCUGUUUUCUUUUGUAGCAGGGCACAAUUGGAAAAACUGGUUAUUUUACCAAGACUUUGACUGGAAUAGUGUGCUUUCCUUUAAGGAAUCAAACUUGACUUGUAGAGCCAAUAAAAUCCCUUGGGAAAACUGGCCUGAUACCUUGCCUCCACAGUCCCUGUAUAGGGUUUCUGACCUGUGGUAAGUAAAGAAUGUCAUUUUCUAUCAGGCCCAGGGUCCCAAGUUAUCUUGGAACCUCAAGAGGAGAGGAAUUUACUCAAUUCAUAGAUAUUUGAGGGUACAAACCCAUGGCAAGGCUCGGCUCUAAUAAAAGCCUUAUCUAAAAUUCCUUCUAUGGAACAGAGUUCCAUCAAAGCCAAUUUACAAAGAGCUUAUGUAAAAAAUAAUUAUUCUUGCAGCACUUUAGACAAAUAAUUAGGCCAAGUAUAAAAAGGCAAAUUGAUCUUGCCAUAAUUUGUCUUUAGUCAAAAUGGGAAACUGGAGAGAGAAAUACUAUGUUUCAAAAACUAUGGUACACUUGUUAUGAAAUUCUAGUCUCAUCAGUUGUUUUUAAGUUUGUUUCUGCAAUUUAGGCUAACCCUGCUUAUUCCUGUAAACCAACCAGUGAUCUCUGACUGCUGCUUAAAAGAAACAAGACAGAUGGGUAAUGUAAAAUGUGAAUCAAUAUUCUAAUUCUGCCUAUCAACGCUGUAUCAGCUUGGCUCCAACAGUUGCCCAGUUCAUGGAAAGCCUUCUAAUUUAGUUUACUUGGAAUAAUUUUACUUAUUUUGCUUUACAGUUGUGGAAUAUAUUGCUAUUGAAAUCUUGUUGUGUAGGAAUAAGGAUAUGCUUACUCAAUGUUUUCUUAAACACUUAUUAAUCUUCCAGAUAUCACCUCUUGUCGAAACUCAGAGUUAGGAAUGGCCAUUACUAUGCUGAAGCUUUCUGACUGAGCUCCUCUCUACCCUAAUACAAAGGACUCUCACAGUUAGUCAUCCUGGCUGGGAUCCUGGGUCUCCACAAAAAAGGAUGUCACUGGAACCUGCUCAACCACAUUCCAGUGGGAAGGAGAGAGCCCUUCUGCCUGCCCCCAAGACUCAAAUCCUUGAAGCUCCUUCAGGACUUCAGAACAUGUAGGAGUUCUCCUGGCUGCCCAGCUCACCUAUCUUAAAACCCUGCGAAUGGGAGCUGGAUGACUUCAUAGAAACUUCAGAGAAAUUGCUACAACAGUUUAUACCUGGACAACGUUGGUGCCUGAGGCUGUGUUGGCCACACAGAAAGUUCACCAGAAACCUGAUGAUAUCACCAGAGACAUCCAAGCUGCAAGCCAGGAACACCCAUCGGAUUGAAACUGCCACACCAGAAGAAGAAAAAACAAAUGCUAUUUCUACGUGAAUACAUCAGGAAUAGAUGCCCAAAUCUUGGAUCUUUAGAAAUAUAAAAGGCCAGGUCCAGGUGCUCCACCAGAUGUGGGAAAUACCGUCAACUGAUCUAGUUAAAUCAAGAGAUUAAAUCUCGGCUCUUGGGGACCCUAGUUUCAGGGUACUUUCCAAACUCUUGGCAUUUUCCUCUCAUUAGUCCUACUGAUAACAUUUCCUAUAUGUUGCUUCUCUCAAGAGUCUUAAAUGCUUGUGAGCAGCCACUGACUCAUCACAUGAUCUCAGGAGGAUGGAGGAACAAAAACUGCUUCAGUUGGAAUUGUCGAAAAAAGCCUACUGAAACUCUGCUUCAUGAUCUUCAGACGGCCAUGGAGACAAAGACAUGUGGAAACCGAGUGUAGCACUCAGCAGUGGGUCACACUCUGAGUCCGACUGAGAGAAUGACCCAAAUUGGGCAGUUGUUAAAAAGAAACAGCAAAAUAGAUGGCCAGGUGUGGUGGCUCACGCCUGUAAUCCCAGCACUUUGGGAGACCAAGGUGGGUGGAUCACUUCACCAACAUGGUGAAACCCCCUCUCUACAAAAAGUACAAAAAAAUUAGCCUUGUGUGGUGGUGUACGCCUGUAAUCCCAGAUACUCCGGAAGCUGAGGCAUGAGAAUCACUUGAACCCAAGAGGCAGAGGUUGCAGUGAGCCGAGAUCAUGCCAUUGCACUCCAGCCUGGAGUAUAAGACCCUGUUGAAAGAAAGAACAAAGAAAGAAAGAGAAAGAAAGAAAGAGAGAGAGAGAGAGAGAAGGAAGGAAGGAAGGAAGGAAGGAAGGAAGGUAGGAAGGAAGGAAGGAAGGGAAAGAGGCCCUGAGCCGACUAGCUAUGGCCAUGUAACUGAAACAGAAUUGAUCCUGAUUUCCCCUCAAAUGCUGGUUCUAAUCACAAAUAAAAAUUAAGCUUUUCUUCCUUGCCAACCUGAAAACA